GGUAUUCCCCCAGUUAACGGCGAGCGAACGGGGAAGAGUCCAGCGCCGAAGUUCGUUCCCCCAGCGGGUCCGAACAAUGUGGCGUUUGGGAGGGAGCGCACUCGAGACGGUCGGAGCAGCAAGUCCCCCUGACCGGGGCUCUUACCCAGAGCGGGUGCGAGGCCCGUAGUUGCUCCGUCCCCUCGGGACGCGACCUCCUCGGAGUCGGGUUGCUUGGGAGUGCAGCCCCAAGUGGGUGGUAAACUCCACCUAAGGCUAAAUACGGCCGCGAGACCGAUAGCAAACAAGUACCGUGAGGGAAAGUUGCAAAGAACUUUGAAGAGAGAGUUCAAGAGUACGUGAAACUGCUCAGAGGCAAACGGGUGGGCCCUCGAAAUCCUCUUGCGGAGGGAUUCAGUCGGGCGCCGCACGAGGUGCGCCGGCUCCGGACCUGAARAAAGGCCGAGACCGGCGAGAUCGGGCGCGCUCGACGCACUUCCCCCCGCACUCUGGACGCCGCAUCGAAUCUGGUAGCUGCGAGAGUCGGCCUUGAGACGGUCCCAGGAGGUGACCGGGGAAUCGGCUCCGGCCCCUUCCCCCGGUUUUUGACGGGACCGCCGCGUGGCGCGACACCAGAUCGUCGUCCGGUAGUCGCCCCCUCGCGGGGCGACCUCCUCUCCUGCGCUGCGUCGCGGUGCUCGGGCCAGUGAGCGCCGGCGAGGCCGAACCACUCCCCGUAGUGGCCGGUCCGACGGACGCCGUGGUUGGGCUCGAGCGGGCCGCGGAGGGAGAGGCACUUGCGGCGAGUAGGUCGGUCACCCACCCGUCCCGUCUUGAAACACGGACCAAGGAGUCUAACAUGUGCGCGAGUCGCAGGGUCUUGGACAGGCCCUCGGGCGCAAUGAAAGUGAACGCGUUGGGACUCCACCCCCGCYCGGGGGGGGAAGCACCAACGGCCCGUUCCGUCCGACCAGUCGGUGGAGCGGAGUCGGAGCGCACACGUUGGCACCCGAAAGAUGGUGAACUAUGCCUGGGCAGAACGAAGCCAGAGGAAACUCUGGUGGAGGUUCGUAGCGGUUCUGACGUGCAAAUCGAUCGUCAGACCCGGGUAUAGGGGCGAAAGACCAAUCGAACCAUACUAGUAGC
RNAcentral lists this ribosomal RNA (1125 nucleotides) under Psilochorus itaguyrussu. Its description in RNAcentral is "eukaryotic LSU rRNA". It matches the Rfam family "Eukaryotic large subunit ribosomal RNA", at positions 71 to 951 of the family's 3401-position model. The record is from RNAcentral. Lineage: Eukaryota; Metazoa; Arthropoda; Arachnida; Araneae; Pholcidae.